RNAcentral lists this transfer RNA (66 nucleotides) under Eubasilissa splendida. RNAcentral describes it as "tRNA-Leu". Lineage: Eukaryota; Metazoa; Arthropoda; Insecta; Trichoptera; Phryganeidae. The record is from RNAcentral.
ACUAUUUUGACAGAAAAAUGUAUUAAAUUUAGAAUUUAAUUAUAUGUUAUAUUAACAUAGAUAGUA